RNAcentral lists this ribosomal RNA (363 nucleotides) under uncultured bacterium. RNAcentral's name for it is "bacterial SSU rRNA". It matches the Rfam family "Bacterial small subunit ribosomal RNA", at positions 1019 to 1382 of the family's 1533-position model. The record is from RNAcentral.
GCAAGGGACGCUAGUACAGGUGGUGCAUGGCUGUCGUCAGCUCGUGUCGUGAGAUGUUGGGUUAAGUCCCGCAACGAGCGCAACCCUUACCCUUAGUUGUUUUCCCGAAAGGAUUACCCUCUAAGGGGACUGCCCCGGACAACGGGGAGGAAGGUGGGGGAUGACGUCAAGUCCGCAUGCUCCUUACGUCUAGGGCUACACACGUCCUACAAUGGGGUCGACAGUGGGAUGCAAAGCCGCGAGGUGGAGCCAAUCCCCAAACGGCCUCUCAGUUCGGAUAGUAGUCUGCAACUCGACUACUUGAAGUCGGAAUCGCUAGUAAUGGCGGAUCAGCAUGCCGCCGUGAAUACGUUCCCGGGUCUU